UAGGGAAUCUUCGGCAAUGGACGAAAGUCUGACCGAGCAACGCCGCGUGAGUGAAGAAGGUUUUCGGAUCGUAAAACUCUGUUGGUAGAGAAGAACGUUGGUGAGAGGGGAAAGCUCAUCAAGUGACGGUAACUACCCAGAAAGGGACGGCUAACUACGUGCCAC
This 165-nucleotide ribosomal RNA is filed under the name uncultured bacterium. RNAcentral describes it as "partial 16S rRNA". It matches the Rfam family "Bacterial small subunit ribosomal RNA", at positions 355 to 511 of the family's 1533-position model. The record is from RNAcentral.